RNAcentral lists this unclassified non-coding RNA (217 nucleotides) under soil metagenome. RNAcentral's name for it is "partial internal transcribed spacer 1". The record is from RNAcentral.
ACCGUUACAAACAGUGUGUGAUGCUGCCGCCCGAUGGUGAAUAGCCUCUGGUUGGUAUGGGGGGGUUCGCCCCUUCACGCUCAACGCGUCAUGCCAUCCUUAACUUUACGAGCAGCCUUCUGUUCUCCCUCGGCAAGGGCCUCGCCCCUGCCGUGUGGAACUACAAAACUCUUUUUUGGCAUCUAGCAUUACCUGUUCCGACAAAAACAAUCGUUUA